RNAcentral lists this ribosomal RNA (470 nucleotides) under Corynebacterineae bacterium CL6.15. RNAcentral describes it as "bacterial SSU rRNA". It matches the Rfam family "Bacterial small subunit ribosomal RNA", at positions 13 to 499 of the family's 1533-position model. Lineage: Bacteria; Bacillati; Actinomycetota; Actinomycetes; Mycobacteriales; Corynebacteriaceae. RNAcentral also lists the same sequence under 1 other name. The record is from RNAcentral.
UUGAUCCCUGGCUCAGGACGAACGCUGGCGGCGUGCUUAACACAUGCAAGUCGAGCGGUAAGGCCCUUCGGGGUACACGAGCGGCGAACGGGUGAGUAACACGUGGGUGAUCUGCCCUGCACUUCGGGAUAAGCCUGGGAAACUGGGUCUAAUACCGGAUAUGACCAAAGGCUGCAUGGCUUUUGGUGGAAAGGUUUACUGGUGCAGGAUGGGCCCGCGGCCUAUCAGCUUGUUGGUGGGGUAAUGGCCUACCAAGGCGACGACGGGUAGCCGACCUGAGAGGGUGACCGGCCACACUGGGACUGAGACACGGCCCAGACUCCUACGGGAGGCAGCAGUGGGGAAUAUUGCACAAUGGGCGAAAGCCUGAUGCAGCGACGCCGCGUGAGGGAUGAAGGCCUUCGGGUUGUAAACCUCUUUCAGCAGGGACGAAGCGAAAGUGACGGUACCUGCAGAAGAAGCACCGGCUA